Long non-coding RNA from Acinonyx jubatus (cheetah), 9606 nucleotides. RefSeq lists it as uncharacterized. The transcript has 2 exons. Lineage: Eukaryota; Metazoa; Chordata; Mammalia; Carnivora; Felidae. The record is from RefSeq and is a predicted model, not a curated record.
AAAAAAAAAAACCAAAACAAAAACCCCUAACGUUAUCCCCUUUCAGCCCAGAGAUUUGGGGAGAAAAUAUUCAGGCUUUUGAGUCAGCUUUUAUUUUGGAAAUGAAAGGGACUGCGUGUGUAUAAAAAAAUAAUAAAUGGGUAUAAUUACAAACCAUCUCUUUUCGCCUGAGAGUUCUAAAACCUUGGCCUCCAAAACAAAUCCAAUACUCUGGUUCAGAAAAUAGCACAGAGGAGUUGAGGGGAAAGCAGUGUGCCGGCCUUUCAGAUAACAGGACCGCAGGCAGAGCAAUGGAAACAGCUCCUGCAGCUGGAGUGGGGUGGGGAAUCAAAGGUUGGUGGGCAUGAGUCUGAUGGUGUGUGUGUGUGUGUGUGUGUGUGUGUGUGUGUUUGGGGGCCAGGGAGGGAUGAAAAUUGUUUUCAGUUCCGUAAGGAUUCAACUGGCUUCCAAUGGUGGACUACAACUUGGAACAAGGGCUCAAGUUUGUAUUACAAUGGUUCUGGAAUUUAGGAUUUCUUUCUGCUAUUAUUGGAAACAGACUAGAGCUGGAAGGGUCCCUGCCUCCAGCACCUUUCUGCACAAGGAUGCCAUAUCUAACAGACUCUGAACCUGACAGAAGCUACUGGCAAACAAGCAACCAAUCUUUGCCCUACCAGGGUUCCCUUACCGCGACUAAAGCCUGAGCUGGGACCUGCAGGCCCAGGAGACUCGAGGAAGCUUCCAGGCGGAAUUCCCUGCGUAGCCAGGCUCCACAUAGCUUGGCUGGGCCUCAGCACAGGUCCCAGCCUCAGGUGCCCAGUUAGGGUAGGGAGAGCCUCCUUGCCCUUGGUGUGGGCACACAAAAACGCCGCCAAUGCCCUCUAAUCGGAUCUCUUAGGCUGCAGUUGCCAAUCCGCAGAGUAAGAACGCAAGGCCGCCGCCAUCCGGUCGUGAUCAUAACCGAGGCCUUGUCUGUGCAGCAGCACACCAGGCCCAGAUCCACAGCCCCGGACAGCUGUCCCACGCAAGCCCUUCCUUGGCAGAUUCCGACCACAACUUGAGCGCGCAGAGAAAAAUAAGACCCCAGCCCCAGACUCUCCCCAAACCAGCCCUGGGUCCCUCCCGGAGUUAGAGUUAGGGAGGCGAGGUGGUAGAGAUAGAAAAGUAGGCACAGAGAGACUGAAGAUGAAAGAAAAAUAAAGGUAAGGGAAGACAGAAGGAAGAAGUAAAGGAAGGGAAAAAACAAAAAAGCACAAAGAGGAAGGAAGCGAGGAAGAAAAGGAAGAGUCAAAGGCGACUCCUGGGAGCCGAGGGCAGCUUACAGAAAGAAGGGUAAGUGACAAGGCCAGGAUCCCAGCCCCUUUCCACCGUGUCCCUCCUAGUUUGGCCUGAGUCUCUCUCAAAGGGAUCUUUCCUGAUCUCUACCCUGGAUUGGGACUGGUAGUAUCCCAGCCUUGCAGGAGAAUGGCAGGAUCCCUGGCCAGGCACAGGCCUGGAGUGGGGGGAGGCCCAGGAUGGAAGCGUGCGCCCCUGACCUUGAAUGGCUCAGGGCCCAGAAUUCCUACCACGCCCCCGGCGUCCGCCAAGAAGCAGCUAACCUGACCAUACCUGCUCGGGGCCAGGUGGGCACGGGGUGGGGGGUGAAGCCAGCAGCCUGACAAAGCGCUGAGAAGGAGGCAGGGACGCGGCUCCUGCACGGGGAAAAGCCGAGGUUGCCACCGCAGGCCUGGCACGACCAGGGCCUGGAUGCCCCGCCCGGCCCGGCCCCCGCGCGCACAGGUACCUGGAGACGAUUUCAACUGAAGUAAUGAAGGCAGUGUCGUGCUGUCGAGAGAAAGGUGGAUCCCAACAACAGGAAACUACCUAAAUCACCGACCAGUUCUGGUGCUGCCCGCGCGGGGCUGCCUCGCCCGCCGCUGCCGCCGCCACUGCCGCCGCCACUGCCGCCGCCAAAGGGAGAACCCUGCGAUCGCACCCGGCGGACCCCCCCCCCCUUGCCAACCUGCGCCUGCGCUGCCACUGUGUGAGCGGCACUACCGCUAAGGCAUCACGGAGGGAGAAGCCACCGGCCCCGGUAAGGUAAACCUGGAAGAGGGAAGGAAGGAAGGUAAAGGAGAGAGAGGAAAAUGGAAGGAGAGGAGAAAGCGAGAAGAGAGGAGAGCGAGCAGUGUGCGUGCUCGUUUCCCAAAUCUUGCUUCUCAGCGAGCACGCGCCGAGCUGCGGCAGCCCCGAGCAACUCGAAAGCGCCAGGGUCGGCACACAGCCCGGCUCCCAGUCUGGUCUCGGCCUCCGGCGGCUCGCUCCCCGCCACUCGCUCUCCCCCUCUCUCCCUCCCAGCCAGCCAGCCAGCCGGGGCGCGCGCUCCCGCGCCCCCUCCCCCUGCCGUCGCGCCCCCCCCCCACCUCCCGCGAGCAGGAAACGCGUGGCCCCGAGGAGGGCGACCAGGUGGGGGAGGCCAUGCUGGGGGAGGGGGCCAUGCAGCCAGCAGCAGUCUACCUAACUGCUGCCGCGGACGCUAGUGACGCGCUCUUGGCCCAGCCUGCUCCCCGGAUUCUUAGGCUGGGGGUCAUCUGGGACCAGGGGACCCACAAAACAACCGGCGUCUGCGAGCCUCCCUGGGGCUCCCGAAAGAAAUCCUGUUUGGCUUCCUCUGUCUAUGCAGCUCCCCUCUCAACUGAAACCACUGGUCCAAGACAGCCACAAUCCAGAUAUACUAGCAAGUCAUAAAACUGAACAAAAGCCGACAAACCUUACGGCACCAGGGCUAUAGGGCCCAGACAAAUUACGACCGUCUAGGUAAUAUUUAAAUAGAUGCCUAAAGUAAUUGCAGGGGGCGCGGGCUAGUCCUCCUGUUGUAAAAGUGGUGGCCGGGAUAAAGUGGAAGGUGAAGAUAAGAAAUCAAAAAAAGAGGUAAAAUUAAAAAGCUUCAUUCCACAGCUUUUAUUCUUCUAUAAGAACAUAAACAUCGUCUUUUUUCCACGCACAGCAGCAUUACAAUAUUAAUUUAUUCUGAUUUAAGAUUAGAAGUAAAUAGAGCUAGAACUAACAUUUAUAAUAACGAUAGAAUGCAUUUGCAUAAAACAAGAUUGGCAAUUUUUCAUAAUAAUAGACAUUUAUACAGAUUUGUAUUUAUAAUUCUUCUUUUUCUGCACCUACAGGUUUGACCCUUUUAUGCAUGUAACUUCACAGUAUAAAGGAAACCCAAACAAAGUCUCCCUUCUCUAGUCUAUUCCGCUUGCCCCAGCCCUCCUUGGGUUCUAUGAAUUUUAGAAAGGAAAAAGAAAGAGGAAGAAGAAAAAAGAAAAUGAGAAAGAAAACUCUCCACAAGACAGGGAGAAUUGUGGUGUGCUUGUCGUGUGUUACCAGUGGUAACAAUUACUUAAUGACAAAAAAAACCCCACUAAAUCCACACGCAUAAACAAAACUACCUUAGGUUAUUUAUCUACAGACAGAAGAAUAUGGAAAUUCAGAGCCAAAGUCAAGCCCUUUUGCCAGCCUGCAUGUCCAUGCCUGUAAGCCCUUCUCUUUGCCAAGGAAGAAAGAAAGAAAGAAAAAAGAAACCCAGGGGCCUGUGUCCCCUGAUUAAACACAGCCCAGCACUCCAGGCAGGCGAGCCCGGUGGCGGCUCCUUGCACCAUUGACCUCAGGCCAGACACCUCAGCGCCUACAAUGGGACCUCGGCCUUCCGGCUAGGUUUGCCCGCCCCCGCAGGAAACCAGCUCCACCGGGAGGACCGGAGCCAUUUCCAGCAGAGGAACCCCGAGACAGCAAACCAGCCCAGUCACCACUCGACACUUCAGGACAAUAGUUCUCUCUCUAGAAAUUUAGCACGAUAUGGCUUUUUCCCCCAGAAAACAAGUAAACCAGCACCAAGCAAACAGACAAAGAAACAAAAAGUCAGAACAAACCAGCCCUGCACAGAUGUAACGGCCAGCGAGAUGGCGAGUGUGGGAGGGAGGAAUGGGGCUCCGGCACAGGUGCGAGUUCCUGGGCAGAGGCCGAAGACAGAGAGAGGAGAACGGCUCUCUGGCAGCGGGGAAAAAAAAAACGGCGUUGCCUGGAGCUUCAUCAGGAAAAAUUAAAAUUGGCUGUGAGCUCCCGGAUCCGGUUUUCUCGGUUCAUUUUCUUCAGUUUCAUCCUGCGGUUCUGAAACCAGAUUUUAACUUGUCUGUCCGUGAGGUGGACGCUGCGGCUGAUCUCUAGGCGCCGCUCUCGAGUAAGGUACAUGUUGAACAGAAACUCCUUCUCCAGCUCCAGCGUCUGGUGCUUGGUGUAAGGACAGCGCUUCUUCCUGCCGCUCUUUGCUGUGAGCCAGUUGGCUGCGUUUUCGCCUUUGGAAUUGCCUGGCAUUCAAGAGAAUAAAGAGGGGAAGGUUAAAUCGGGGCCAGGCUAGGCUGUGCGCGGGGGUGAAUUUGGGACUUCUCUGCCAUAAGAGGGAUGCCCUAAGUCACACGGAGUUUUGCGGCCGUCUCCCCCCCCCCCUCCCCUUUAGCUUGCUCAAGAAGAUCAUUCCUCCAACAGGCAUGUGCAAAAUGGACAGGGCCUUCAAUCUACACCUACCCUCCCAGCUCACAUGUCCCUCCACUUUCCCCCAAACACCUGUUUUAACACAAAGCUGCCAGGCGCUCCCAGAACGAAAGAACGAAAGCCUGCUGCUGUACGGCAAGCUGUACUGCUUGAACUUAACGCCUUUCUCUGCUUCUCGCCCCAAGGCAGACAAGCACUUCCUGCAGCCCCCAGGCAGGGGGCAUGGGUGCCUACUUGGAAGGGAGGGGGGCCGUUUGUGUCUCACUCCAGUCCCCUGAUUGCCUAAGGCCCAAUAAGGAGAGGGACAAGGACACAGUUGGGACCUGGAGAAGGCACAAAAAAACUGAUUCGGGGUCAAGGGCCGUCCCUCACGUCCUUCCAGGAGCCGGGGACAUGCAGUCUGGGCGAUUCCGAGUUUCAGGGGAAGUGAAAUGGUCCCUUUCGGACUCUCAGCUCAGGGCCCCGGCGUCCGGGCGGGAUUUGCCUUUUCUUCUCCCCGCAAGGAGGAUUCCCGCCCCUCCAGCAACUUUGAAAAAAGCAUGGGGGAUCGUAAACUCGAACUUCGCCGGUUAAUGGGCUUAUUUAUUGGUGCUGGCGGCUGCUUAUUUUGGAUGCCUUACAAACAUCCGCGCUAUCUGCGGGCGAGCCACUUUCCUCCCUCCCCCUCCCCCCGCGUGGGCCGCGCCUCGCAGACUGGGCCCAGACCACGGCUUAGGGUGCUCCGGGCCACGGAGAAGGGCAUGCACGAGAGGGGGACUGCUUGUCCCUGUCCUCGGCCCCAAUUGGGGUGAGCUGAGGCCAGAGCGGAGGACGUCUUGGUGUGGGGCUCUAAGUCGGACAUGAAUUUUUACUGCGUCCCCACGCCCAAAUAUUAAAAAGCAAGUUCACAAGGUCAGCCUGCCUGCAGCUUGGGCCAAGGCCGGCCGGCUGCUGCGCGGACUCCUGGCUCUCUGCUCUUUCCCUUCUCUGGGUCGGCUUGCCUGUCUGCCCGCCUGACUGCGCCCCUUCAGCGCGCCCUGCUUACCCAGGGAGUCCUUCUCGGGCGAGGCUUUGCUGCUUUCGGAAGGGGCUGGGGAGAGCUCCUCCGCGGCCGAGGACGACGCGUGCGCCUCCUCGUCGCCCUGCGAGCCCCCGCCGCCGCCACCGCAAGUCAGCGUGGGGGGCGGCGGUGAAUCGAGGGCUCGCUCUUUCCGGGCUGCAUCCGCUGAGCCGGAGGCGAGUGCGGGUGGCGGGUCGAAGCCGCGCCCGGGGGGCUGAGCGGGGAACGGGCCGGCGCCGAGCUGCUGUGCGCCGCCGCUGCUGCCGUAACCCUUGGCCGUGCCAUAGGCCUGGGAGAGGCGGAAGUAGCCGGGCACUGGCACCCCGCUGGAGGUGCUCAGGGCGCAGCCGUCGGGCGGCGGGCCUCGCGGGAAGGGAGCCAGCUCGGCUGCGGCGGUGGAGCCUUUGGGGCAUUUGUCCGCCGAGUCGUAGAGGCAGUAGGAGCUCUCCUCUUUGAUGUUCUGCGCGAAAGAGCACGAGGUGGCCUGCGGCGGGGGUUGGGGUGGUUGCGGCGGGGGCGGUGGCUGUUGCUGGGGCGGUGGCGGCGGCGGCGGCCCCUCGGGCUGCUCCAUCCGGCACGACCGGGGCGCGUCUAGCCACAGGUCUAUAGGCGCGGGCGCGUAGCUGUGCGCCCCAGGACCCAGGCCCCCGCUGCCGCCGCCGCCGCCCGGCGACGCCGCCUCAUUGCGCUUGCCUCCCAGAGCCGGGAAGAGCCCGCAGCUCUGCAGCCCGUAGGGCAGGUCGGCCGCCGGUGGCAGGUAGACCCCGCCGUGGGCGUAGUAGCCGCCGCCACCGCCGCCCCCGGCGCCGCUGCCACCGCCGCCAGCCUCGCCUCUGCCGGAGCUGAUGAGCGAGUCGACCAAAAAAGAGUUCGCGGCGGGGCUCUCCGAGCAUGACAUUGUUGUGGGAUAAUUUGGCGAAGGGAGCAGAUAGCCCUUUCUGGCUGACAUUUCUUGUGCAAAACAUGCUGAAUACGAUUAGCAAUCCCCCCGCACCGCGGCGGGCGCCCGCAGCCAAUCCUGAGCCAGAGUUUCCGCGCGACCACUCCCAGUUUGGUUUCGUAGGCGCGGGGCCGCUCUCCGAGGGCGCCCUCUGAGCCCACGAUUGAUAUAAAUAUGUAAUCUGUAUUGAUGGGCCAGGAGACGCACACCCAAUACCUCAGCCCAAAGGCCAGGAGCUGUGGGGGCUGCCCCAACGUGGCUAGUGGGGGGCCUGGUUCCUGGGCUAGCCCCGCCCACGCUCGGACGUGAGCCCUCCUGCGGGGUCUGUUUGAAGGGCCCUUGGGCCCCCGCGCAGUUAACAAGUGGGGUGUUUAUGGUGCGUACCCCGCCCGCCUUGGGUGCUCCCCACUCUUAUUUCGGAAUUAGCCACUAGCCUUCCAUAUACUCUAAACACUAAGCGGGCCUAUUGUGGGGCCUCAGACUCUUCCCAUUCGGCUCCGGACCUGGAACUGUCUCCUACAAGUGGCCGACCUGGCCGUAAGGCCACCAAGAACCUCAGAGUGUCCGAGAUCCAGAGCGCACUGGAAGCCGGCUAGUGCCACUUCUUUCUUGAUUCCCAUACGUAAUUUCCCCCCAAAUGUAUUGCCCUGGCUUCUCAACCCCCACACUCUCCCCAGCCAGUCGUUGAUCCACUUAGGAUCUUUGUCCCUGGUAUGCUCACCUGGCUUGCUUUCUCUGAAGCUGCUGUCGGUGGACCCUGGUGAGCUGGAACGAGAAGGGGGGUGGGGAUGGUAGAAGCGACUGGCAACCUUGGCUGAAAGACUCCCCUACCCCUAUUCCGAGGUCAGAGCCAGGUCCAGGCACCCCAUAGCCCCAUUUCCCCGGUAGCUUCCAAGCUCAAACGCCGUUUCAGGGAAGUGAAAGAAACAUUGCUCUUCUGGGUCUUGGGUUUGACUGGAGGCGACGACCUGGAGGGGUAAACUUGGAGAAGGGGCGGCGGAUGAGCACCUCUGCCGUACAAUUCUCAAGCUCUCCCUUUAGCCUUGGCAUUCGCACGCUCUCGGAGGUUAUGACUAGAACCAGUGUCACCACACUCCUGCCUCUUCGUCCCCUCCCCUCUUCCCCCCUCCCCUCCAAACCCGCGGCUGGGGCAGCCCUCACUCCCGCGGUGUGCGCAUUUUAACGAGGCCCGCGGUGAGGAAAUCCGUUCCCGGCAAGCCCGGGCUGGGCUCGUGGCCCAGUUAUAGCAGCAUUUGGAGGCCAGGCCCUUUGCUCAGCAGACACCGGGGCCUCCUUUUUCUCUGGCCGUAGGAACGCUCUCUCAGUCAAUGGAAACUGCUGUCCCAGGGCGCUAGCCCCUGUGUGGGCCUCUUACAUAUCUCAGGAAAUGCGACCUUUCCCAGCCCGGAUCCAGUACAGUCCAGGAGGUCUCUGCCUUGCCCCUUGCCGGUGGGCUACAGCUCUCCAGGAUGCCCCAGGCCUGCCCGCCGCACCAGCUCCAGCCCCUGCAGAGGCCUAGACUGGGGCUGCUAAACGCCGGGAUCCCAGGAAGCAGACCGCUCAGGCCUCUGCCUGCAGCGGGGAAAGACCCUUGCAUCCCGGGUGAUUUGCCAGGCACUUGGCCUUGUUCCUCCCGGUGUGAACCCAGACCGAGAAGGAAGCCGAGUCUGAGAAGACCCAGAGAGGGUGCACGGGAGAGCUGGCGGAAGAGCCCUGGCGCUGGCUUCUGAGAUGCAAGCAGUUGCGGAAUCUGCCUGCUGUGGCUGCUCUCCGCCCGCCCGCAGCGCGGGCGGCCGCGCCACAGUUUGCGCUGCGCUCUAGCCGCUUCCACCCAACUGGCCUGCGCCUGGCGGUGACCGGAUCCGCAGACUGGGCAUCGGGGGUACAGAGGAGGGGGAUAGGGAAAGACAGAGAGACACAGAAGGAGAGAAGGCCAGAGGGAGAGAAAAGAGAGGGGGAGAGAAGGGGAGAGUGUCUGAGAACUAAUUCUUUCCAGUCCACAAGCUCCUGAGGCCGAAGUAGCAGCCGCAGCCGAAUCAAGUAUGUGUGGAGAGAUCAGGAGCUGUCCUUCACUGCCCACCUCCUUCCCACGAACAAGGCCAAGGCAAUUUCUAAUCCGGCUAGGCCCACGAGAUCGACAAACUUCCAUAUGGAAAGCUUCAGAGCUCGGAAACCUAGGACCCUUCUCUGGACGGGCUUGGUCCUUAUCCCACUCACCAGGAGGGUGUAACGCAUUGGGACUGUGGCGCUCAGCAGUGCUACUGGGAAAUGCCACAAAACUCAGGACUGCUUGAGAAGGGGCUUUGCCUCUUAGCACUGCUCAUGCCAAUCAAGAAAGCUCCGCAGAGUGUGAAGUAGGUCCCAAGAACAGGAGAGGGUUCCUUGAAAAGAACGCGUCCCAGCAGGCCAAUGGGCCAGGACUUGGUUACUCUCCCCACUAAAUGCACAAAGCAACUUCCCAAGGCUGUAGAUUGGAAAGGGUCAGUGGCCAUGGGAGAGGAUGCUUGAGAUGGCAGAGGCUAAGAAAAUAAAGUGAAAAGUCAAUGAUCUAAACCCGUCUUUCUCUUUGAAAGUUAAGGCCCCUUUGGAAAAGCUAAGGCCAAGCUCUGAUUCUUAUCCUGUGAAAAAUGCACAUCUGGGCAUUCCCACAAUUUGACCCAUCAUUCUCAAGGAGUUCACAGACUCCUCACAGUCUUCUCCUUGGGCCCUCCAGAAUGUUCCAGGACCCUCCGGAAUUCAGCAGCCCUGCCAGUUUGACUGGUAAGACAAGCCGGUUGCCCCGGCCCUAGGCAGUUCAGGCUUAGUCUGGUCAGGGCUCUGUAGGGUGACUAAAUGGGCUUCUAGGCUGGGUAAGAUCCAAGAGCAUGCAGGUGCCAACCAAGGUUACAAAAGUCAGCUUGGUGCUGCAUCUGCUAUAUGAAGGUCCCGUUGGCUGCCGACUCAGAGGAGGUGGAAGGCUUGCUGCAGCCUCUCAGACCAUGGCAUUGGCACUUGGGUCUUCACUGACCUUUGGGAGAGCUGGAUGUUUUUCUCCAGUGUCUUUUCUCCCCUUGCAAUAAACCAAACGGGAUACUGAGUUUCUUGCUUAAAAAAAAAAAAAAAAAAAAAAGGAUGACGAUGA